Molecule: long non-coding RNA, 3179 nt
Filed under: Homo sapiens (human)
Lineage: Eukaryota; Metazoa; Chordata; Mammalia; Primates; Hominidae
Description: HSALNT0385409
Source: RNAcentral
AAGUUGCAAAGUCAUACCUUUCUGCUCUUGUCAGACAAUUAAGGGGUCUUUGAAUACUUCAGCUCUAAUAAUUUCCUUCCUAACAUACAUAUUGCAGUGCUUAUCUAAUUUUAAAUAUCCUUUUGUUUCAACACCUAAUUUUCUAUUUUGAUCUAUCUGUAUGUUUACAAUAUAUUUUGCUCUGUGUUCAUUCUUUGAUUUCAGAACUUCAAUCUUUCUGAAGCGUGUUUUCAGUUUCGUUUGAGUUUCUUUAGUGGAAUUCUGCUGGUGGUGUUUUGUUUUUUGUCUCUAAAUAUGUUAUUUAGCCAUAGGUUGAUGAAUGUUUUUCUUGGUUGAGAAUUUCAGAAUGGCAUUAUUAUUCUUAACAAAUAAUAUUGUUUAUUUUACCUUUCAUGCUUUCAGAUUUCAAUAUGAUUAAAGGUAAUUUGAUUUUUCUAGUGCUAAUUGAAAUAUUUUUCCCUUCCUGAUUGUUUACUAUUUCUCUAGGAGAUAUGUAGAUGUAGGUUUAUCUCCAUCGUAGCUUGCUUAGCAUGCAUAGAAGUUUUGAAUAUGUGGAUUAGUGUCUUACAAAAGUCUAGAGAACUUUCAGCCAAAAUACCAUCACAUAUUGUCCCUUCCCUGUUCCCUUCCUCUAUGAGAACACUCACUAAACACAUGCUACACUUUCUCACUGUAUCUUCCAUGUCUCUUCAUGAUUCUGUCCACAUUGUGCCUUUUUUAAAAUUUUCUGUAAUGCAUUCUGAAAUAUUUAUGAACUCUCACCAUGGCCAUGUCUAAUCUGAUGAGUUCAUUUUUGAGUUUUUAAUUUAAAAUACUAUAUAUAAACUACUUUUCAAAUUUACUACAUCAAUUUUUUAGUCUCCUAAAAAUAUAUUCAUUUUUUUUUAAUUUUUUGAAAGCAAAUGUGCUUUAUAAUCUAACAGUGAUAUUUCUACUAAUGAACCUUUGUGGAUCUGUUUGUACUCUUUUUCUGCUUUCCUUUCAAAUGGUGGAAUAUCAUUUCCUUGCGUACUUAGAUGCCUUUGAAUGACAAAGAUUUAUUUUUCUCUGAAAAUUAUUAUUGUGCACUUUUGCAUAUUAGAAGAAAAUUUGCCAAAGAGAAUUUGAAUUUUUUGUGAGUCUACUAAAGGCACCACCAUUCUGGGACCACAUUAUAUUAAUUCUUGGCCUAAAGGUGUUUGGACGUAUGUUUGGACAGCACAUUUAAACAAUUUUUAAAUUAAUUGCUGUAAAUCAUUAAUGAUUGAGUUGCUUUAAAUCUGUCCAAUCUCAAGUCAUUUUUAUUUGCCAUUUCCAGGGAAUGUGAAAUGAGACUAAUUUACCUCUGAUUCUUCUUUAGACUGAGGAUAUAAAUUUUGGUUCUAGCUUUAGGGAAGAGCUCCUGUGUGAUGCCCUAUCUUGGGAAACACUAUGUAUUUCUUUACUGUCCUAUGUGAUGUAUGACAGUAGGAAUCUGCAGUCAUUCAUUUUGCUACAUGUCCGUAGGGCAAAAUCAGUUUCAGUGUUUAGGUGUAUUUUGUCUGCUCCCUGCAUUCCCAUGGUUUUGACCUUAUAUUUUACUUUUUUUUUGUGAACGUACCAAUGCUUCAAUUUUUUUCCAGUAAUAUAAUCAACUAUACUAUAAGAGAAAAAUUUUGAUAAAACACAAAUUUCAUGUUUUCCUACUCUAAUUGGCUUUUACGUAAAAAUACAGGUAAAAUUUAUUUGUGCUUUUUUGCUAUUAUUUUUUGCUAUUCUCUGUUUGUCUAUGUCUUCACCACAUAGACACAAUUAGGGAAUUUUGUACACUCUUGUGCCAACUGCUUUGAUAGGAACAAAAUGUAUUUCUCGAACUCCUAGGUAUAAAACUCAAGUAUCCAUGAUUGAAAUUCUUUUUUGCUCACUUCUAUUAUGUUUCCAGUCUCAAUAGAAAUCGAUGCCAAUCCAGAAAUACAAGCAUUAUUCUAAUACUUCUCACACAUUACUGCAGGAGUGAGGACACAGCGAAAGUGAGACAAGGAAAAGAGAACAAAAUAAAACAGGAAAGAUAGAAAAGCCAAUACCACACGUGUUAAGAGUUUCAAGGAAAAUAUGUUGGGAGUUCCUCGCAUAGAGAAUGUCACAAAGACAUGUUUUCAAUAGUAGUGCUAUCCCUAGGGCAGAGAAGACCCAGAGAAAGCCCAAGUGGCUGCUGGAACACAGUCAGACACCGUGCCACCUGUCCACACUCCUUGGCUCUGCCAUCAUGCUGAAGAUCGCUUUAAAGGACUGGCUUCCCUCCCCCCAAAAUGAAUAGAGCACAGACUGAGAAACUGAAUGUGGGAGACAGCAGUGGAUUAUGCUGUUCUCAGGGGUCACCUCAGGUUUGGAAGCAUUCUUUCAAAUUAACCCAUCUCAGGCCAUCUGCAGAGAAGAAAGGUGGUACCUAACUUUUUUCUUGUCAGCAUUUGGUAGGGGUGUUUUAUUGACCAAAUAUGUUCCCACAACCUAGUUUUUUGUGAGUAACUAAAUAUAGUAGAGUUUUAAAUUUUAUCAUCAAAAUCUAUAGACAAUUUUUGAUGAAAAUAGACUCCAUCUCUAUGUCCUGCUUUUCUUCUUCUUAUUAAUUACAUUGCUGUAUAAAAGAACAAGACUUCAGAAUCAAGAAUAUCUUGUCUCUUGGCAUUGAAUUUAUACAAGGUGCUCUUUCUUUAAUGCUGUCUCAAAGGACAUAUUUUUACUCAUUAAAAAGGAAGAUCGGAAUCUAGUUGUAUGCGCUGCUCCAACAUAUUAAUAAUUAAAAUUAGGAGGUAAAUGUGGUCAAAACUAUAGAAAGACUGAGAUGUCAUUUAUAUUGAUUGCUGUAUAGCAUUCUACAAACAGAAAUUGUUAAAUAAGUUUAUAUAAAUAUUUUGUAGCAUUUCAAAUAUUUGAGUGCUUGACGUUUCUCCUCUUCUAUAGUUCAGAUUAUCAAUUUGAAGACUUACUCCGCUAGUUAAAAUGUUUUUAGUCUCGUUCGAGUAUUAUAUAAAAGCAAUUUUCAGUUAAAUGUGUUCCGCUUACAUACAACAUUACAAAUUAUUGAGGAUUUAAUUACUUAUUCAUGUUCCUGUAAUAUCUUUAGAAGAUUUUCUUAUUAUUACCUAUCAAUAUAUGUAUGCUUUGUCAAAGAAAAAUCAAACAUAUAUAUCAUUGAAAUUGAAACUUUUUAAAAGUACUUA